AUAAAAUUGUUACUUUUUCAUCAUCUUCUUCCUUGAAAAUGCUGAACUUCAAAACACAAAUAAAAAAACUGAUAUAAGUGAUCAUAUCCAUCAUUCAUUCAAAACCUUGAACAAAGAUCUAAAUUCAAUCUAAUUCCACAACUCGAACUCGAAGAACAAAUCCCAGUUAUAAAUCUUUCAGCUUCAAAUCCUAGCGAUAUUCAAAAACUAGUUUCAGAGAUCGGAGACUCCUGCGUCGAAGCUCCGUCAAGAGAUUUAAAAAAGCUGUGAAAGUGUUGUUUGAUCUACCAUUAGAGGAGAAAAGAAAGGUGAAGAGAAAUGAGAUGCAUAUCUUCCUCACCGGAAAGACGAGAGCAGCGACGCAACAGACAACGUCAGCUAAAAUUGAUGACAAAGAAGAUAUCCCACCGGACCAACAAUGGACAUGAUUCUCACUAAGUGUCGGAUUCUCCGAUGUUGAAAAGGACGUCGUCGUUUGGUUGAAACUCUUGAUUUUUGAAGAGAUACAUGUAAUUAACCAAUGAGAGUUGAAGGGUUUAUGUUAUUUCUGCAGGUUGGUUUCCUUAUUCUGCAUCUCAGAAGCAGCAACAAACAACCUAUGGCUUCUACCUCUCAUGUCGAUAUAAUCAUGAAGAUAGUAGAUGACUUUAGCUUUGAUGAAGCAGUUGCUAUGUUAAACAUGAGGGUGUACUGCAAAUUAGAAGAAAUUGAAACCAGAUAAAAUUUGGAAUAAAUGCUCCUAUUUUAAGUAUCACAA
Mercurialis annua (annual mercury) is the source of this 757-nucleotide long non-coding RNA. RefSeq lists it as uncharacterized. The transcript is spliced from 2 exons. The record is from RefSeq and is a predicted model, not a curated record. Lineage: Eukaryota; Viridiplantae; Streptophyta; Magnoliopsida; Malpighiales; Euphorbiaceae.